This 484-nucleotide ribosomal RNA is filed under the name uncultured bacterium. RNAcentral's name for it is "partial 16S ribosomal RNA". It matches the Rfam family "Bacterial small subunit ribosomal RNA", at positions 30 to 507 of the family's 1533-position model. The record is from RNAcentral.
AUUGAACGCUGGCGGCAGGCCUAACACAUGCAAGUCGAGCGGAUGAAGGGAGCUUUCUCCUGUAUUCAGCUGCGGACGGGUGAGUAAUUCCUAGGAAUCUGCCUGGUAUUGGGGGAUAACGUCCGUACACGGGCGCUAAUACCGCAUACGUCCUGAUGUAGAAAGUGGUGGAUCUUCGGACCUCACGCUAUCAGAUGAGCCUAGUUCGGAUUAGCUAGUUGGUUUGGUAAAGGCCUACCAAGGCGACGAUCCGUAACUGGUCUGAGAGGAUGAUCAGUCACACUGGAACUGAGACACGGUCCAGACUCCUACGGGAGGCAGCAGUGGGGAAUAUUGGACAAUGGGCGAAAGCCUGAUCGAGCCAUGCCGCGUGUGUGAAGAAGGUCUUCGGAUUGUAAAGCACUUUAAGUUGGGAGGAAGGGAAGUAAGUUAAUACCUUGCUGUUUUGACGUUACCAACAGAAUAAGCAACGGCUAACUUCGUG